GUGGCAUCACUGUCACAGUCCCGCUAGGUGGCAUCACUGUCACAGUCCCGCUAGGUGGCAUCACUGUCACAGUCCCGCUAGGUGGCAUCACUGUAACAGUCCCGCUAGGUGGCAUCACUGUAACAGUCCCGCUAGGUGGCAUCACUGUAACAGUCCCGCUAGGUGGCAUCACUGUAACAGUCCCGCUAGGUGGCAUCACUGUAACAGUCCCGCCAGGUGGCAUCACUGUAACAGUCCCGCUAGGUGGCAUCACUGUCACAGUCCCGCUAGGUGGCAUCACUGUAACAGUCCCGCUAGGUGGCAUCACUGUCACAGUCCCGCUAGGUGGCAUCACUGUCACAGUCCCGCUAGGUGGCAUCACUGUAACAGUCCCGCUAGGUGGCAUCACUGUAACAGUCCCGCUAGGUGGCAUCACUGUAACAGUCCCACUAGGUGGCAUCACUGUCACAGUCCCGCUAGGUGGCAUCACUGUCACAGUCCCGCUAGGUGGCAUCACUGUCACAGUCCCGCUAGGUGGCAUCACUGUAACAGUCCCGCUAGGUGGCAUCACUGUAACAGUCCCGCUAGGUGGCAUCACUGUAACAGUCCCGCUAGGUGGCAUCACUGUCACAGUAGUGUUAUAGCAGGUACAGGUUAUAUCUGCGUCCCUAAUCCCUGUAGUCCUUUUAGCCACGGCUCAAAACCAACCCAAGGGUUGUAGAGCUAUAUGCACUGUGCAGCCUUUAACCCAGCAGUAACACACCUGAUUAUUCAUCCGA
Oncorhynchus keta (chum salmon) is the source of this 758-nucleotide long non-coding RNA. RefSeq lists it as uncharacterized. The record is from RefSeq and is a predicted model, not a curated record. NCBI's taxonomy places the organism in Eukaryota, Metazoa, Chordata, Actinopteri, Salmoniformes, Salmonidae. The transcript is spliced from 3 exons.